This 466-nucleotide ribosomal RNA is filed under the name uncultured marine bacterium. RNAcentral describes it as "bacterial SSU rRNA". It matches the Rfam family "Bacterial small subunit ribosomal RNA", at positions 385 to 842 of the family's 1533-position model. The record is from RNAcentral.
GAUGCAGCCAUGCCGCGUGUGUGAAGAAGGCCUUCGGGUUGUAAAGCACUUUCAGUUGUGAGGAAAGGUUAGUAGUUAAUACCUGCUACCCGUGACGUUAACAACAGAAGAAGCACCGGCUAACUCCGUGCCAGCAGCCGCGGUAAUACGGAGGGUGCGAGCGUUAAUCGGAAUUACUGGGCGUAAAGCGCACGCAGGCGGUUUGUUAAGCCAGAUGUGAAAGCCCCGGGCUCAACCUGGGAACUGCAUUUAGAACUGGCAAACUAGAGUCUUGUAGAGGGGRGUGGAAUUUCAGGUGUAGCGGUGAAAUGCGUAGAUAUCUGAAGGAACAUCAGUGGCGAAGGCGACUCCCUGGACARAKACUGACGCUCAUGUGCGAAAGCGUGGGUAGCGAACAGGAUUAGAUACCCUGGUAGUCCACRCCGUAAACGAUGUCUACUAGCWGUUUGUGACCUUGAGUCCGUGA